Molecule: ribosomal RNA, 497 nt
Filed under: uncultured bacterium
Lineage: Bacteria
Description: partial 16S ribosomal RNA
Rfam family: Bacterial small subunit ribosomal RNA
Source: RNAcentral
GAUGAACGCUGGCGGCGUGCCUAAUACAUGCAAGUCGAGCGAACAGAUAAGGAGCUUGCUCCUUUGACGUUAGCGGCGGACGGGUGAGUAACACGUGGAUAACCUACCUAUAAGACUGGGAUAACUUCGGGAAACCGGAGCUAAUACCGGAUAACAUAUUGAACCGCGUGGUUCAAUAGUGAAAGGCGGCUUUGCUGUCACUUAUAGAUGGAUCCGCGCCGUAUUAGCUAGUUGGUAAGGUAACGGCUUACCAAGGCAACGAUACGUAGCCGACCUGAGAGGGUGAUCGGCCACACUGGAACUGAGACACGGUCCAGACUCCUACGGGAGGCAGCAGUAGGGAAUCUUCCGCAAUGGGCGAAAGCCUGACGGAGCAACGCCGCGUGAGUGAUGAAGGUCUUCGGAUCGUAAAACUCUGUUAUCAGGGAAGAACAAAUGUGUAAGUAACUGUGCACAUCUUGACGGUACCUGAUCAGAAAGCCACGGCUAACUACGUG